Molecule: long non-coding RNA, 820 nt
Filed under: Mytilus galloprovincialis (Mediterranean mussel)
Lineage: Eukaryota; Metazoa; Mollusca; Bivalvia; Mytilida; Mytilidae
Source: RNAcentral
GAUACUUUUAAGCAACAUUUCUAAUUAGAUUGUAUUUCAUAAGUUGAUGUAAUAUACUUUGGUUUUCUCAUUAUCAUAUUUUCAAAAAUCUCUUUAAUUUCCAUCAUGAAUUUUGCUACAGCCUUUUCUUUUCAAGAUACUGGACCAAAACGGUAUCAAGUUUUAACUUUGAUGGUUAACCCAGAAAUUCCCAGUGAUCAGAAACCGUAUUUAAAGAACAUAAAUUUAAAAGAGAUUUUUAACCUGCUUUUUUGUGUGGCAUGCAGGAUUUUGUAAUUUUGUUUAUCUAAUUUUGAUUUGAAUAUAAUUACUAAGUAUUUUAUUUUUUCCUGUUUUGUGUCAUACAAUAUUUUGUUGUAUUAAUUUUUAAAUUUUCAUGCUAUAGAAGGACUUGUUAUAAUUUGGUUAUGUUUAGCAAAAGUUUUUGGUAAUAUGUUGAUGAUGUGGGAAGGUCAUAAGCUAAACAGGCUUAAAAGAUGCCUUUGUCAAUUUACAACUUGCAUAUCAUACUUUAACCAACACAGAUUUUAAUUUUCCAUUUGUAGGCAGAAAAAUAUCCAAUUAGGUUUCAAACAUGUCAUCAUAUUCUUACAUGGCACAAUUGUUAUUAAUAAAUUACACCCCAUCUAACAGUUUAAUUUAUAAAUAUUUUUUCUUUCUCAUAAAUAGGCAUUUGUAAAAGUACCUAACAUUAUCUAAAAUGACACAAAAGCGAAUCAUAAUCAAUAAUCAAUUCUUAAGUAUAACUAUAAAUUACAUUGAAUAAAACAUAACAAUACUGCAGCUUAUUUAGUUGGUGUACCAAGCAAAUACAAAUAUA